This 22-nucleotide non-coding RNA is filed under the name Echinops telfairi (small Madagascar hedgehog). RNAcentral also lists the same sequence under 7 other names. Lineage: Eukaryota; Metazoa; Chordata; Mammalia; Afrosoricida; Tenrecidae. The record is from RNAcentral.
ACCACUGACCGUUGACUGUACC